Melanotaenia boesemani (Boeseman's rainbowfish) is the source of this 662-nucleotide long non-coding RNA. RefSeq lists it as uncharacterized. The transcript is spliced from 4 exons. Lineage: Eukaryota; Metazoa; Chordata; Actinopteri; Atheriniformes; Melanotaeniidae. The record is from RefSeq and is a predicted model, not a curated record.
GCCAAAAAAUACAUGCAUUAACUGCUUUUUUUUUAAGGUUUUCUGAUUCUUUUGAAUUUUCUAAAGGUUCAGUGAAGAUUUUUAAUCUCAUGUGUUGCAGACUCUGCAGAUUCAAAUGUUGUUUGUCUUUUUAUAUAGAUUUUCUAUCUGGAACCAGCAACGAACAACCGCUCAAGCACUGCUCAUUCAUUUUUUCUGAAGGCAGUAGAGAACUACGGCUGGCCUUCCAGGGUCAGGGCUGAUCAAGGCGUUGAGAAUAUCUUAAUUGCUGAAACCAUGUUCACUGUUAAAGGAACUGGAAGAGGAAGUUUUAUAGCCGGGCGGAGUGUACAUAAUCAAAGAAUCGAACGUCUGUGGCGAGAUGUCUGGACUUGCGUGACACACCUUUUCUAUGAAGUACUUCACAGUCUCGAGGAGGAUGGCCUUUUGGAUUUGGCAGAUUCUGUUCAUCUGUUUUGUGCCCACUAUGUCUUCCUUCCGCGUCUGGCAGAGGCCCUGCACAGCUUCACAGAAGGCUGGGACAACCAUCCCUUAAGGUCAGAAGGUGGGCUCUCUCCAAACCAGCUCUGGGUUUUGGGUCACAUGAAUAAGCCUUGUGACCCAAAUAAUGAUGUGCAGAACAUGGAGCUAUUUGGAACAGACUGGGAGAUGUUUGAUGCUGU